This 442-nucleotide ribosomal RNA is filed under the name uncultured bacterium. Its description in RNAcentral is "bacterial SSU rRNA". It matches the Rfam family "Bacterial small subunit ribosomal RNA", at positions 958 to 1401 of the family's 1533-position model. The record is from RNAcentral.
AACGCGAAGAACCUUACCUACUCUUGACAUCCAGAGAAUUCGCUAGAGAUAGCUUAGUGCCUUCGGGAACUCUGAGACAGGUGCUGCAUGGCUGUCGUCAGCUCGUGUUGUGAAAUGUUGGGUUAAGUCCCGCAACGAGCGCAACCCUUAUCCUUUGUUGCCAGCGCGUAAUGGCGGGAACUCAAAGGAGACUGCCGGUGAUAAACCGGAGGAAGGUGGGGAUGACGUCAAGUCAUCAUGGCCCUUACGAGUAGGGCUACACACGUGCUACAAUGGCAUAUACAAAGAGAAGCGAACUCGCGAGAGCAAGCGGACCUCAUAAAGUAUGUCGUAGUCCGGAUUGGAGUCUGCAACUCGACUCCAUGAAGUCGGAAUCGCUAGUAAUCGUAGAUCAGAAUGCUACGGUGAAUACGUUCCCGGGCCUUGUACACACCGCUACAGU